RNAcentral lists this transfer RNA (74 nucleotides) under Loktanella sp. Its description in RNAcentral is "tRNA-Cys". It matches the Rfam family "tRNA". From Rfam's summary of the family: Transfer RNA (tRNA) molecules are approximately 80 nucleotides in length. Their secondary structure includes four short double-helical elements and three loops (D, anti-codon, and T loops). Lineage: Bacteria; Pseudomonadati; Pseudomonadota; Alphaproteobacteria; Rhodobacterales; Roseobacteraceae. The record is from RNAcentral.
GGCGAGUGGGCAGGUAGGCUAUGCAGCGGAUUGCAAAUCCGUGUAGACCGGUUCGAUUCCGGUACUCGCCUCCA